This 550-nucleotide long non-coding RNA is filed under the name Homo sapiens (human). RNAcentral describes it as "HSALNT0364833". Lineage: Eukaryota; Metazoa; Chordata; Mammalia; Primates; Hominidae. The record is from RNAcentral.
GGUAACAUGAGAGGCAUGGUGUCCCCUGGCCUGCCUCUUUGAAUAGUUUACUCUGUCUACAUUCUCAGCUGGAGCUGGCACAUGGUCAGCUGUGAAUCGGAGGCUCCACCCUUGCCCUGGCUUCCUAGGCCUUAGGUUCUGGGGCUGAUAGAAUGGAGAACGCGAAUGAACCAAGAAACUCAGGCACAGAGAAGUUAAGCAACUUGCUCAAGAUCACACAGUCAUUAAGUGGCAAAACUGGGAAUGGAACCUAGGCAUUUUGGCUCGUCUUUCUCCUAACCAACACUAUUAGCAAAAAUCCUGAUGUAUGAAAGAAAAUAACAACUGCUUUACACAGUUUUAUGUGGUUUAAAUGAAAUAAGAGCCCAUCCUCAGCCCACCCACAAAUGGCUGUAUCCAGCACUGCAUAUCUGCUCAAAAAACAAAAGCGACCCAAGUGGAGAGAGAAAGCUAAUCAUGGGCUUGGCAUCUGAUUGUGGUCUGGCUUAAUACAUUAUUCUUAGAGCCAACUGGAAAGGAAACCACCACCCAAAUCCGUCACGACGUGUGC